This 468-nucleotide ribosomal RNA is filed under the name uncultured bacterium. RNAcentral describes it as "partial 16S ribosomal RNA". It matches the Rfam family "Bacterial small subunit ribosomal RNA", at positions 28 to 507 of the family's 1533-position model. The record is from RNAcentral.
GACGAACGCUGGCGGCGUGCUUAACACAUGCAAGUCGAACGGAAAGGCCCUGCUUUUGUGGGGUGCUCGAGUGGCGAACGGGUGAGUAACACGUGAGUAACCUGCCCUUGACUUUGGGAUAACUUCAGGAAACUGGGGCUAAUACCGGAUAGGAGCUCCUGCUGCAUGGUGGGGGUUGGAAAGUUUCGGCGGUUGGGGAUGGACUCGCGGCUCAUCAGCUUGUUGGUGGGGGAGUGGCUUACCAAGGCUUUGACGGGUAGCCGGCCUGAGAGGGUGACCGGCCACAUUGGGACUGAGAUACGGCCCAGACUCCUACGGGAGGCAGCAGUGGGGAAUAUUGCACAAUGGGCGGAAGCCUGAUGCAGCAACGCCGCGUGCGGGAUGACGGCCUUCGGGUUGUAAACCGCUUUCGCCUGUGACGAAGCGGGAGUGACGGUAAUGGGUAAAGAAGCACCGGCUAACUACGUG